UAUUUAAUUUUCUUUGAUUACAGUUUUUUAAAUGUAAAAUUAUUUGUCACAACCAUUUCGCAUUUAAUUUUACUGUUUCUCCAUACGAUGACAGAGAAGUUGACGCUUACAUUUUUCCAUCGAUCAUUCUAACAGAAACACGUGUUGCGUGCGCAAAUACUUUAAUUUGGGUUUUAUAGUGAAGCUGCGCAAAAGGAGCUUACAUAGUUUGCAUUUGCAUUAGUGUGCCUGCCGCAUCGCCCGCUGCUUACGGAGGCUGUUUAAAAGGGACUUCCACAGAUUUUUUUUUAUAUAAAAGACGACAUUUGCGAAAAGUCUACUCUGCAGUUUACACUAUAAGUGAGGAGUUGAUACCAUCAACUGAGCUGUCGUUAUUUGCCGAGCAAUGUCCGUUGGGAGAUGAGUCCCGUACAAUGGAAAAUGUCGACAAUGAGUCCGUAGUAAUUUUGGAUAGUGAUGAACAGUUAAUUAAUUUAUUGUGUUCGUGGGAUUUGUCGUCAAAUGCAUUGAUACAGUUCAAUAGAUGUGGUUUAAAGAGUGUAGCAAUCGUCGAAGAGGUUUUAAAAGAAACAGUAGCAGGUAACGACAUAAUAAAGAAGUACGAAAACUGUGGUUGCCUCCAAGAUUGCCCAAUCUGCAAUAGUUCGCAUUAUUGUGGAUAAUUACUUAAUACGUGAUAUUAAAAUGACCCCGAUCACCAUGAAAACUGUUGCCGAACAGAUUGUCAAACUGUUUUCUAAAGAACAAGAAUCGGUGUAUUACGUACCCAGGACAAACAAAUUACUCGAAGAUUCGCAAAGUGUACGUAAUAAAGAUAGUUAUUCAAAGUAAUUGAAAUGUUGUAGCAAAGAACUAAAUUCGGUCAAAGCAAAUUCUAUUUGGAACAGCCUAUCUUAUUUUCAUGUCACAGACAAUAUGGCUUGUGAUUUAAUGCACGACAUAUUUUUAGGAGUCGCUCGAUAUAAUAUUCCAAAAGUUCUAGAUUAAUUCAUAUAUUAGAAGAAAUAUUUUUCUUUGGAAGCGUUUAACUAUAGAAAACAAUUAUUUGCUUAUGAUCCAUCUCACGUCAAAAGUUUAAGUAAUCCUUUAACGAAGGCUCAAAUUAAGACUAACAAUAUUAAAAUGAACGCUUCUGAAAUGAAACUUUUUUUGAAUACUAUUUUGUUAAUGAUUGGGGAAUAGAUGAAUUUGAUUCAGUAUAUAAAUUUUUAAUAACGUUUAUUAAAAUUGUUGAUAUUGUUAUGUAUGAGGAGUUCAGUGACGAUAUUUUGAAUGAGCUACGUGCUUUAAUUGUCGAUCACCAUACAUACGUAUGAUUUUUUUGAAAAAUAUACACAUUACCUUGUGAUCAAAACCAAGUGGAUGGUAAUAUUUUAUAUAUUUAAAAUAUAUUUUAUACCAAUUUACAUUAAAGCUUUAAACUUUGUGUAAUAUUUAUUAAAAUAAAAAUAUAUGUAUGUAUGUCACUUUUGUAAACUUUACUCUGUAUAUUCUCAAAUAAAAUAUAUUUUUUAUGAAAAAAGUAAA
Long non-coding RNA from Zeugodacus cucurbitae (melon fly), 1527 nucleotides. RefSeq lists it as uncharacterized. The transcript is spliced from 3 exons. The record is from RefSeq and is a predicted model, not a curated record. NCBI's taxonomy places the organism in Eukaryota, Metazoa, Arthropoda, Insecta, Diptera, Tephritidae.